RNAcentral lists this ribosomal RNA (305 nucleotides) under uncultured bacterium. RNAcentral describes it as "bacterial SSU rRNA". It matches the Rfam family "Bacterial small subunit ribosomal RNA", at positions 337 to 635 of the family's 1533-position model. The record is from RNAcentral.
GCCUACGGGGGGCAGCAGUGGGGAAUUUUGGACAAUGGGCGCAAGCCUGAUCCAGCUAUUCCGCGUGUGGGAUGAAGGCCCUCGGGUUGUAAACCACUUUUGUAGAGAACGAAAAGACACCUUCGAAUAAAGGGUGUUGCUGACGGUACUCUAAGAAUAAGCACCGGCUAACUACGUGCCAGCAGCCGCGGUAAUACGGAGGAUGCGAGCGUUAUCCGGAUUUAUUGGGUUUAAAGGGUGCGUAGGCGGAAUAUCAAGUCAGCGGUAAAAAUUCGGGGCUCAACCCCGUCGUGCCGUUGAAACUG